This 2758-nucleotide ribosomal RNA is filed under the name oral metagenome. RNAcentral describes it as "bacterial LSU rRNA". It matches the Rfam family "Bacterial large subunit ribosomal RNA". The record is from RNAcentral.
UAAAAUUAAAACAUAGCAUAAAGUGGAUGCCUUGACUUGAAUGUCCGAAGAAAGACGUAUAAGCCUGCGAUAAGCUUGGAGGAGUUGGCAAAAAACAUUAUUACUCCAAGAUUUCUGAAUGGGGGAACCUAAUGUAGGUAUUCUACAUUACUCUAAAAAGAGUGGAUACAAUGUGAACUGAAAUAUCUAAGUAACAUUGGAAAAGAAAUCAAUUGAGAUUCCCUUAGUAGUGACGAACGAAAUGGGAACAGCCUAAACCGUAAAUACUGUAUAGAUAGCUUUUGGUAUUAUGGGGUGUGGAAAUAAUAGUGAGAAGGCUAUUAGACUCGAUAUAGAAUAUUAUUAUUAAGAGAAUAACUUGAGAAAGUUAACCAUAGAUGGUUAAAGUCCAGUAUCAUAAAAUAAUUUUGUUUUGUAUUUAUUAUUUCCCGAGUAGGAUCAGGCACGUGUAACCUGGUUUGAAUAUAGGAGGACCACCUUCUAAGGCUAAAUAGCAUUCAAGAUCGAUAGUGAACUAGUACCAUGAGGGAAAGGUGAAAAGAACCCCGGGAGGGGAGUGAAAUAGAUUCUGAAACUUUAUGCUUUUAAAGAGUAGGAGCCUUCGGGUGACUAUGUACUUUUUGUAGAACGGACCAACGAGUUAAUGUAUAUGGCAAGGUUAAGAUUUUAUAUUCGGAGCCGUAGUGAAAGCGAGCCUUAAUAGGGCGUUUAGUCAUAUAUAUUAGACCCGAAACUGAGUGAGCUUCCCAUGAGCAGGCUGAAGCGGUGGUAAAACACUGUGGAGGGCCGAACCAUUUGGAGCUGCAAGUCCAUUGGAUGACUUGUGGGAAGGAGUGAAAAGCUAAUCGAACUCAGAGAUAGCUGGUUCUCCGCGAAAGUAAAUCCUGAUAAACUUCGAAUACUACAUAAAUUAUACCGGGAGUCAGACUAUGACAGAUAAGUGCCAUAGUCAAAAGGGAAACAGCCCAGAUUACUGUCUAAGGUCCCUAAUUAACAACUAAGUGGAAAAGGAUGUGAGGUUGCUGAGACAACCAGGAGGUUGGCUUAGAAGCAGCCAUUCCUUAAAAGAGUGCGUAAUAGCUCACUGGUCAAGCGACCUUGCGCCUAAAAUUCAACGGGGCUAAAGUUGUUAACCGAAGACGUAAACUUCAUAUUUAUAUGGAUUGGUAGCGGAGCGUUCUGUAUGUCGCUGAAGGUGAAGGGUGAUCUUUGCUGGAGAUAUCAGAAGUGAAAAUGUUGGUAUGAGUAACGUAAGGGAGAUGAAAACUCUCCCCGCCAAAAACCUAAGGUUUCCUGUUCAACGUCAGUCGUAGCAGGGUUAGUCGGUCCUAAGGUAAACCUGAAAGGGGUAGCUGAUGGAUAUCAGGUUAAUAUUCCUGAACUAUUUAUAAUUUUUCUACGGGGGGACAUAUCGGGAUAUAGGAGGUAGUUAAUUACUUCUAUUACGAAAGCGAGUCUUGAAAUAUUGGAAAAUCCGUAUUUCUUUAAGGGCGAGUUAAGUUAAAUUGAUUUUAUUGAUUCAUUUCAAUAAAUGAUGUGGCUUCUAAUAUAUUCUGGUAUCAAGAAAAGCCUCUAUGAUUUAUAAUUAUAAAUAACCGUACCGUAAUCGAACACUCGUAGGUUGGUAGAGAAUACCAAGGCGAACGAGAUAACUAUGCUUAAGGAACUCGGCAAAAUAGCGGUCGUAACUUCGGGAUAAGACCUGCCUAUCUAUUAAUUUAAUUGAUAGGCCGCAGCGAAAGAGCCCAGGCGACUGUUUACCAAAAACAUAGCUCUCUGCAAACUCGCAAGAGGAUGUAUAGGGGGUGAUGCCUGCCCAGUGCCAGAAGGUUACGUGGAUGUGUGCAAGCAUUGAAACUAAGCCCUGGUGAACGGCGGCCGUAACUAUAACGGUCCUAAGGUAGCGAAAUUCCUUGUCAGGUAAGUUCUGACCCGCACGAAUGGCAUAACGGUCUGGGCACUGUCUCAAGCAUAGGCUCGGUGAAAUUGCAAUAUCGGUAAAAAUGCCGAUUACUUGCAGCAAGACGGAAAGACCCUAUGGAGCUUUACUAUAGCUUGGCAUUGGGUUAUGUUUUAAGAUGUGCAGUAUAGGUGGGAGACUGUGAAGUAUGGAUGCUAAUCUGUAUGGAGUCAAAAUUUGAGAUACCACCCUUCUUAAAAUGUAACUCUAACCUGUUAAUCAGGAACAGUGCUUGGUGGGUAGUUUAACUGGGGCGGUUGCCUCCUAAAGAGUAACGGAGGCGCGCAAAGGUUCACUAUCUUCGGAUGGAAAUCGAAGAGAUAGUGUAUUCGCAUAAGUGAGCCUGACUGAGAGACUUACAAGUCGAUCAGACACGAAAGUGGGCGAAAGUGAUCCGGCACUAAUGAGUGGAAAUAGUGUCGCUCAACGGAUAAAAGUUACCCUAGGGAUAACAGGCUGAUCGUGUCCAAGAGUUCACAUCGACGACACGGUUUGGCACCUCGAUGUCGGCUCGUCGCAUCCUGGGGCUGGAGAAGGUCCCAAGGGUAUGGCUGUUCGCCAUUUAAAGCGGUACGCGAGCUGGGUUCUCGGUUGUCAGGUAUACUGGCACUGCCGAGUAGCUAAGUUUGGAAGGGAUAACCACUGAAAGCAUCUAAGUGGGAAGCCUACUUCAAGAUUAGAUUUCUCCUAGUUUAACUAGAUAAGUCCCCUUGGAGACUACAAGGUUGAUAGGUUGCAAGUGUAAGAAUAGUGAUAUUUUCAGCUGAGCAAUACUAAUGGACGAAUGAAUUUUAAUAC